ACCACUCCUUCCUUCUUCUUAUACUUGUGUAAUGUAAGAACCAUUCCCACCAUUAUUCUAUCACUUCUAAACCAAAAUUCUGAAAUUUAUCUUCUCCAAGUGAACAAGUAAACCAAAGUUUUGAAUUUUAUCUUCUCCAAGCAAACAAGCAACCAAAAUUUUAAAAUCCCACCUUCUCCAAGUGAAGAAGCAACUAAAUUUUCUGAAAUUCCACCUUUUUUUCCUCAUAAUUUCAUGAAUCAUCAAGAGGUUUUGUAGUAUCACCUCACAAUAGCAACCCCCUAUUUCAAAGAAAGUUUCAUAAAGUUCAUUUUAAUCUCUACAUUUUAUAUGGAGUAUGGACCUUAAUGAUAGUCCACCUUGGAUUGUUUUAAAUGUUUUGCAAUUAGAAGAGCCCAAGUAGAUUUUAUCAUCAUCAUCAUCUUUCUUCUCUUUUGUGUUGGAAAGGUAAUUAGUAGAAUCUCUUUGGUGUGGUGAUAGAAGUAGCCAUUAGAAGUCUUUAUCAAGUUAGGUUGUUUUGGAAGAUUGGAUUUCUGAUUUUAUUGUGGUGAUUGAAGAUUGCUCAUAGAGGGUAGCUUCGUUAUGGAGGUGAUGACUAUAAGUAUUAUGUGCUAUGUGCGCGCAUUUUGCAGGAUUUAGUUCAGGUUCCAGGCCGCAACAAUUACUAUUUAUCGAGAACUUAUGUGCUUUUUGUAUCUUUAUUGAUGACUUGAUGAUGAUGUAUUUUUUUCAUUUUGAUGUAUUAGAUGUAACAUUUUACUUAUGUUUUAAACAACUUUAAUUUUUAUGAUUUAAAGAUUUUAACAGU
Amaranthus tricolor (Joseph's coat) is the source of this 808-nucleotide long non-coding RNA. RefSeq lists it as uncharacterized. Lineage: Eukaryota; Viridiplantae; Streptophyta; Magnoliopsida; Caryophyllales; Amaranthaceae. The transcript has 4 exons. The record is from RefSeq and is a predicted model, not a curated record.